Marmota flaviventris (yellow-bellied marmot) is the source of this 562-nucleotide long non-coding RNA. RefSeq lists it as uncharacterized. The record is from RefSeq and is a predicted model, not a curated record. Lineage: Eukaryota; Metazoa; Chordata; Mammalia; Rodentia; Sciuridae.
GGGAACCGGACCUGUCUUGAUAUUGAACUGGCGUCGAGGACGAGGACCAAGCUCUGGUUACGUGUGUGGACAACCACUGUCCAGCCAGCACAUGGCUCCUGUCCCUCCCAACUUGGUGGCAGAGGAUGACCGAGAUGGGAAGAUGAGAUUCCUGCUGCCGGCAGCCAGCACUCACAGGGGUCAGCCAUCCGUCCCCAGAGCCUGUGUUUGGGCCCAGCACUGCCCUGGAGGGUCCCAGCAGGUGGCCUGCGUGGGAACCACCCCCAAGGGCUGAGCUUGUGGAAUCCUGGGAUGGUAGCAGCAGGGCCAGCAUCCUGUCCCCAGAACAUGGCCCCGGCUCAGCACCCCUGGGCGACACUCAGCCCCUGACCCGCCCGGGAUGGCCAGCACAGACCUGAGCCCGCACCCUGCUGCCUAGUCAGUGGUCAGUGGACACAGACUGGAACCUCAGAAUCUGAGCCAAAGAAACCCUUCUUCCUCUACGUUGAUUUUCUUUCUUUCUUUUUUUCUUUCUUUCCUUCCUUCUUUCUAGAAAUAGAAUUUUAUUGUAUCUUUUAAGUAA